Molecule: non-coding RNA, 1035 nt
Organism: Epinephelus lanceolatus (giant grouper)
Lineage: Eukaryota; Metazoa; Chordata; Actinopteri; Perciformes; Serranidae
Source: RefSeq, a predicted model, not a curated record
CGGGAAUGGAAAAUACACAUUGUACAUUUAUCCUUUACAAGAAGAACUUGAUACAAUUCCAUUACCACCUGAAGCAAAGGAGUUUGAGAACAUGCCCAAAGCCCAGUGUACAACCUGCAAGAAAAUGGUUCCUCUUCAGAUUCUUCCAUUACAUAUCAAGGAAUGCAAGACAGAAUUUGUAGAUUUGACCUCUUCUGCGGAAGAGGAAAGCUGCAACGAAGAACGUGAAGAUGAAUUACCAGAUUCCAUUAGCAGCCAGGAAGGCAAGUGCUGAGGAAAUCUUGGAUUGGAUCGCUUUACAAGUUAAUGAAACAGACAAGACAGACAGACAAACUGUGUGUUGAGAACUGACUUCUUCAGCAGAGGCAUGCAACAAUGGCAGCAGCAGAAGAAGACAUCACCCAAAUGUAGACUUAAGGUCACAUUCUUUGGCGAGGCAGGCAUUGACACUGGGGCCCUUAGCAGAGAAUUCCUCACAGGUAGAAAUGUUUGUCUAUAUUUCCUUUCACAAUAAGACAAAAUUUGUGCACAUCAAAUUCUUACAAGGUGAGGUAUAGGAUAAAAGAUAAUCAAGAACAAAAAGGAAAGGAAUUAUCCGCACACUCUGGUUAUAGUUCCAAGAGUUUUUAUGUCAUUUUAUAUGAACCAGCAUUUGUUAGCCCAAUAGAAUAACUGUCUGAGUCAUAAUACAUGGUGAAUCUGCAGUGUUAGGGGAACUAGGUAGAUAUCACAAUUUAGCCAAAAUAUGAGUUAGACAAUUAAGUUAUAAGGCUAAUGAUUGAGAAACAUUUUAACAACAUUUAACCAGAGAAUAAAAUGUGUAUAUUGUUCAAGCAAUCAGAACAUUGAGUACAUCUAUUAUAAAUUUUGCUUUGCUGACUUGCUCUAUUUGUGUGAUCACUUCAAUGAAGUAUUACACACUUACUUGUAUAUCAUUUUUUCAACAAAUUGCUCCUGAAUUUUAACCUUCUACUCCUUCCACAUUGUUGUGUUGAAGAUACUGACCCCAUUCAAAUAUUAAAAAUUCAAUUGUAU